RNAcentral lists this long non-coding RNA (1375 nucleotides) under Marmota monax (woodchuck). The record is from RNAcentral. Lineage: Eukaryota; Metazoa; Chordata; Mammalia; Rodentia; Sciuridae.
UUCCUCAGUGACCUUAUUGAUUACCUUCUCAUAUGUAUAUUUGCAUAAAAUGCUAAAUGGGAACUUUCUGUGCGUUGCCACAGUGUGCAGUCUGGGGAUGUUCACUGUUGAAUUCUGAGUUGGUCCAUUAGGAAACUAAAAUGUUCUAUAGAGAUCUUUUGUUUCAAGCUAAAUUUCUCUAGAAAGUGUUAUUCCAGUUUCUUGCUUGCAGCAGGAGUUAUCUGGUUGUAAGGAUUUCUGCAUAGGCAUAGAGGAAGACUUAUGUGUAGGUGUUUGAUCAUUUCAUAUGCAGAGCUUUUAAUUAAUCACUUUAUUUAGCUUGCAAUUCACCUUCACCUGUCAUUUUGCUUACUCUCCUUGAUUUUGAAAAAUCUCAGUUCAGUUACUCCACUCAAUAAAUAAAUACCCAGUAGUUUCUUGCUUAUGUGGUAGAUUCUGUCUAAGAAUUCUCUGAGAGUAUGGGAAGUAGUAUUUGUAUAUCUGGGUGUGAAAUUUGAUUAUUCCAUAUAUAAAUUUCCAUUAUAUCCCUCAUUUUUGCUCCAUGACUCCAUGUGGUGAGCCGUGUUUGUAGACCAUUGCCGCCAUUAGAAGAUGGCACCGGUCUCCGUUGUGGAUCUUGGUAAACAACUCCUUAUUAGGAAGUAUUGGCGCGCUGUCCCUCAAUACCCUAUGAGAAAACCCCACGUGGCAGCUUUUGAUUGGACUUGAGUAAGCUUUAUUAGGCUGUGUGUGGGUGCGUGGAGACGAGAGCGCGCUUGAGAGAAGACUAGAAUUAAGGCCUGAAUAAACCGCUGAAAGAAGAAUCCUGUGUCGUGUCUUCCUUGCUGGCGAGGGGGUCGCGACAAUUGGUGGCCCGCACGGGGAACCGAAUACCUCUCAAUCCCAGGAUCCAGAACUUUCAGCGGUCAGGGUGGUGCACCGGUAAGUUCCCAGGUAAGUGGGAAUCCGCGGAAAAAUUAGCGGGUCGCUCCUCUGUAAGAAGAGAGAGCGGGGAUUUUUUGGACUUUCGCUUUAUUUCUUUGCUUUCGCUUUCUGCAUUAACGCCAUGGGCGCCUCUGCUUCUAGCCCUAUUCUGUUAGCCCUGGAUGGACUGCUACGAUCUAAAGGUUUAAAAGUUAAACAGAGUACUUUGCAGAUGUUCUUAAAACAAGUAGAUCUAGCGGCCCCGUGGUUUGCUUACUCGGGCAGUCUCACGACCCCCAGCUGGGAAAAACUAGGUAAGGAUUUAGAUUUUGCACACGAACAAGGGACCCUCGAAGGUGGGGUGAUUCCUUUAUGGAAGUUAGUAAGGGGUUGUUUAUCUGACAGUAGAUGUCAGGAUGCCCUAACCAAAGGACAGGAGGUUCUUGAACAAUUGCAUGAGGAGAGGUCCGAG